AGCGAACGCUGGCGGCAGGCUUAACACAUGCAAGUCGAACGCCCCGCAAGGGGAGUGGCAGACGGGUGAGUAACACGUGGGAACGUACCCUUGGUUCGGAAUAACUUGGGGAAACUCAAGCUAAUACCGGAUAAGCCCUUAUGGGGAAAGGUUUACUGCCGAAGGAUCGGCCCGCGUCUGAUUAGCUAGUUGGUGAGAUAAUGGCUCACCAAGGCGACGAUCAGUAGCUGGUCUGAGAGGAUGAUCAGCCACACUGGGACUGAGACACGGCCCAGACUCCUACGGGAGGCAGCAGUGGGGAAUAUUGGACAAUGGGGGCAACCCUGAUCCAGCCAUGCCGCGUGAGUGAUGAAGGCCUUAGGGUUGUAAAGCUCUUUUACCCGGGACGAUAAUGACUGUACCGGGAGAAUAAGCCCCGGCUAACUUCGUGCCAGCCGCCGCAGUAA
Molecule: ribosomal RNA, 446 nt
Filed under: uncultured bacterium
Lineage: Bacteria
Description: partial 16S ribosomal RNA
Rfam family: Bacterial small subunit ribosomal RNA
Source: RNAcentral